Molecule: transfer RNA, 93 nt
Filed under: Verrucomicrobia bacterium UBA6775
Lineage: Bacteria; Pseudomonadati; Verrucomicrobiota
Description: tRNA-Ala(ggc)
Source: RNAcentral
GAUUGCCUGGCGAACGAGGCGACGUUCGCCUUGGCCAGGCGGAUGGCGCGCUUGGUCUUGGGCCGGGUGGCGUUCCAGGCCUCGGCCAAGCGC